Non-coding RNA from Echinostoma caproni, 82 nucleotides. The record is from Rfam. NCBI's taxonomy places the organism in Eukaryota, Metazoa, Platyhelminthes, Trematoda, Plagiorchiida, Echinostomatidae.
GGCCUCGUAGCUCAGCUGUUAGAGCAUGCUCGUACAAAGCGUAGGCGGCGUCCACGCGUGGGUUCAAAUCCCACCGAGGCUA